Molecule: non-coding RNA, 860 nt
Organism: Pelobates cultripes (western spadefoot toad)
Lineage: Eukaryota; Metazoa; Chordata; Amphibia; Anura; Pelobatidae
Source: the annotation of a GenBank genome assembly
GAGGGAGAGAUAGAGUCAGAACGAGAAAGAGAGAGAGUGGGAUAGUGAAAGGGAGAAAGAGAGAGAGGGGGUAGUGAGAAGGAGAAAUAGGGAGGGGGGAUAGUGAGAGGGUGAAGGAGAAAGUGUUAGGGAGAAAGAGAGAGAAGGAUAGUGAGAAGGAAAAAUAGAGAGAGGGGAGAGUGAGAAAGAGAAUAAGAAACUGUUAGGGAGAAAGAGAGAGGGGAUAGUGAGAGGGAGAAAUAGAGAGGGGGAUAGUGAGAAGGAGAAAGAGAGAGAGGGGGAUAGUGAGAAGGUGAAAGAGAGAGAGGGGGAUAGUGAGAAGGAGAAAUAGAGAGGGGGAUAGUGAGAAGGAAAAAGAGAGAGGGGGAUAGAGAGAAGGAGGAAUAGAGAGAGGGGGAUAGUGAGAGGGAGAAAGAGAAUAAGAAAGUGUUAGGGAGAAAGAGAGAGGGGGAUAGUGAGAGGGAUAAAUAGAGAGGGGGAUAGUGAGAAAGAGAAUAAGAAAGUGUUAGGGAGAAAGAGAGAGGGGGAUAGUGAGAGGGAUAAAUAGAGAGGGGGAUAGUUAGAAGGAAAAAGAGAGAGGGGGAUAGAGAGAAGGAGGAAUAGAGAGAGGGGGAUAGUGAGAAGGAGAAAAAGAGAAGGUGAAAGAGAGAGAGGGGGAUAGUGAGAAGGAGAAAGAGAGUGGGGGAUAGCGAGAGGGAGAAAAAGAACGAGAGGAGGAUAGGACAGGGAAAAAUAGAGAUGGGGAUAGUGAGAGGGAGAAAUAGAGAGAGGGGGAUAGUGGGAGGGAGAAGGAGAGUGGGAAAUUGUUAGGGUGAAAGAGAGAGAGGGGGAUAGUGGGAAGGAGAAGGAGAGUGGGAAAU